GAUGAACGCUGGCGGCGUGCUUAACACAUGCAAGUCGAACGAUGAAGCCCAGCUUGCUGGGUGGAUUAGUGGCGAACGGGUGAGUAACACGUGAGUAACCUGCCCCUAACUCUGGGAUAAGCCUGGGAAACUGGGUCUAAUACCGGAUAGGAGCGUCCACCGCAUGGUGGGUGUUGGAAAGAUUUAUCGGUUUUGGAUGGACUCGCGGCCUAUCAGCUUGUUGGUGAGGUAAUGGCUCACCAAGGCGACGACGGGUAGCCGGCCUGAGAGGGUGACCGGCCACACUGGGACUGAGACACGGCCCAGACUCCUACGGGAGGCAGCAGUGGGGAAUAUUGCACAAUGGGCGCAAGCCUGAUGCAGCGACGCCGCGUGAGGGAUGACGGCCCUCGGGUUGUAACCCUCUUUCAGUAGGGAAGAAGCGAAAGUGACGGUACCUGCAGAAGAAGCACCGGCUAACUACGUG
RNAcentral lists this ribosomal RNA (466 nucleotides) under uncultured bacterium. RNAcentral describes it as "partial 16S ribosomal RNA". It matches the Rfam family "Bacterial small subunit ribosomal RNA", at positions 28 to 507 of the family's 1533-position model. The record is from RNAcentral.